UACAGAGGGUGCGAGCGUUGUCCGGAAUCACUGGGCGUAAAGGGCGCGUAGGCGGCCUGAUAAGUCGGGGGUGAAAUCCUGUGGCUUAACCACAGGGCUGCCUCCGAGACUGUCGGGCUCGAGCACAGUAGAGGCAGGUGGAAUUCCCGGUGUAGCGGUGGAAUGCGUAGAGAUCGGGAAGAACAUCGGUGGCGAAGGCGGCAUCCUGGACCGAGAUUGACGCUGAGGCGCGAAAGCCAGGGGAGCAAACGGG
Molecule: ribosomal RNA, 253 nt
Filed under: uncultured bacterium
Lineage: Bacteria
Description: partial 16S ribosomal RNA
Rfam family: Bacterial small subunit ribosomal RNA
Source: RNAcentral